This 583-nucleotide ribosomal RNA is filed under the name uncultured soil bacterium. RNAcentral describes it as "bacterial SSU rRNA". It matches the Rfam family "Bacterial small subunit ribosomal RNA", at positions 224 to 823 of the family's 1533-position model. The record is from RNAcentral.
GAGGAGUCCGCGGCCGAUUAGCUAGUUGGCAGGGUAAGAGCCUACCAAGGCAGAGAUCGGUAGCCGGCCUGAGAGGGCACACGGCCACACUGGCACUGAAACACGGGCCAGACUCCUACGGGAGGCAGCAGUGGGGAAUCUUGCACAAUGGGGGAAACCCUGAUGCAGCGACGCCGCGUGAGCGAUGAAGCCCUUCGGGGUGUAAAGCUCUUUCGGCAGGGAAGAUGAUGACGGUACCUGCAGAAGCAGCUGCGGCUAACUACGUGCCAGCAGCCGCGGUAAUACGUAGGCAGCGAGCGUUGUUCGGAGUUACUGGGCGUAAAGGGUGUGUAGGCGGUUGUUUAAGUUUGGUGUGAAAUCUCCCGGCUCAACUGGGAGGGUGCGCCGAAUACUGAAUGACUUGGAGUGCGGGAGAGGAGAGUGGAAUUCCUGGUGUAGCGGUGAAAUGCGUAGAUAUCAGGAGGAACACCGGUGGUGUAGACGGCUCUCUGGACCGUAACUGACGCUGAGACACGAAAGCGUGGGUAGCAAACAGGAUUAGAUACCCUGGUAGUCCACGCCCUAAACGAUGCAUAUUUGGUGU